Solanum dulcamara is the source of this 249-nucleotide long non-coding RNA. RefSeq lists it as uncharacterized. The record is from RefSeq and is a predicted model, not a curated record. The transcript is spliced from 3 exons. NCBI's taxonomy places the organism in Eukaryota, Viridiplantae, Streptophyta, Magnoliopsida, Solanales, Solanaceae.
CAAAGGAUAAACACCCCUAACUAUUACACCUCGGUUCUCUUCUCUCACUCACGGCGUUCAUCUCAACUGCUACCCAUUAAAUCACGGUCUCUGUAGUUGUCCGACAGCAUAAGCCAUCCAAAAGUUGUGGGAGUGAGCACCGUGGUUUUACUGAUGAGGAGCGACGUUAAACAGUCUGCCUCCAUCUUCAAGCGCAGUGUUCGUCAAAUUCGCCACUGGCUCGAGGAAGAGUCUGCUUCUGCUGCUAAG